RNAcentral lists this ribosomal RNA (624 nucleotides) under Triticum aestivum (bread wheat). RNAcentral's name for it is "partial small subunit ribosomal RNA". Lineage: Eukaryota; Viridiplantae; Streptophyta; Magnoliopsida; Poales; Poaceae. The record is from RNAcentral.
GCUGGAUGGGGAAGCGGGGGUUGGGUGGGGAGAGCCCGCACUGGCGGAGAAGACGGACGAGGACUGGCGGCCUCGGAGCUACUGGCGGCCCCGGAGGUACCUCGCCGCCGCGUCCAGUUCGACCCUGCCUCCUGCAAGCAUGGCGACUUCUUCGACACCAUCUGGGCGGGCCACGACCUAACCACGCCCAAUCUCUUCAGCAAUGUAGAUGUCGAUCGUAGUUGGAUGUACAAAGAGAGACGAGGGAAGUUGAUCAGUGAUGCUUGGCAACAUGGAGUAGAUAAUUUUCUAGAUCAUGCAUUCUCAUUGCCCGAUGCUGCUGCAGACGGGAAAUCCCAUUGUCCUUGCAGCAAGUGCUUUUGCGGUCAUAAGUGCACAAGGGAUGUCAUGACCACACACUUGUGCAGCAAUGGGUUCAUGUUAGGAUAUGAGAGAUGGACUAGCCACGGGGAGUCUGAUGCACCUGAAAAUGUAGAGCAUGAUAACGUGGGGGAUGGAGAUAGAAUGAAUGACAUGCUAGUUGAUGCAAUUGUUGCUGAAGGAGUUUCUAAAGGUGAUGAGCCAACAAAAGCCGCUAAAAAAUUCUAUGAAAUGUUGAUGGAAGCCGACAAACCUUUGCAUGAG